UCACCCAAGCAUUAGCUACAACUUCUGGUAGCGCUGAAUGUCGCUGCCACAUGAUUUCAUAACAUAGUGGAGAGCGUUGUCUUGGAAGCUCGGCGACAACCUUGAGCUGAACAAGUACCGGACAAUGGUCCAAGCAUGGAGAGGUGCCAACAGCCGUGGUAAGACAGAGGAUGCAAGUGUUAUCCGGAAUGAUUGGGCGUAAAGCGUCAGUAGGUGCCUUUUCAAGUCGGUUGUCAAAUCCUAGGGCUCAACCCUGGAUAGGCGGUGGAAACUACCAAGAUGGAGUACGGUAAGGGCAGAGGAAAUUUCCGGUGGAGCAGUGAAAUGCAUUGAGAUCAGAAAGAACACCAACAACGAAAGCACUCUACUGGGCCGACACUGACACUGAGAGACGAAAGCUAGGGGAGCAAAUGGGAUUAGAGACCCCAGUAGUCCUAGCCGUAAAUGAUGGAUACUAGGUGUUGUGCGAUUCCACCCGUGCAGUAGAAGUGUAAAAGAAAGUGGAUUCACUAGAUGAUACAUGAGUCCCUAAUUC
Molecule: non-coding RNA, 535 nt
Filed under: Triticum aestivum (bread wheat)
Lineage: Eukaryota; Viridiplantae; Streptophyta; Magnoliopsida; Poales; Poaceae
Description: Bacterial small subunit ribosomal RNA
Rfam family: Bacterial small subunit ribosomal RNA (bases 1-476)
Source: Rfam by way of RNAcentral